AACGCGAAGAACCUUACCUGGGCUCGAAAUGCAGAGGAAGAUGUCAGAAAUGGCUUCGUCCGAAAGGACUUCUGUAUAGGUGCUGCAUGGCUGUCGUCAGCUCGUGCCGUGAGGUGUUUGGUUAAGUCCAGCAACGAGCGCAACCCUUAUCAUUAGUUGCCAACACGUUAAGGUGGGGACUCUAAUGAGACUGCCUAGGUUAACUAGGAGGAAGGUGAGGAUGAUGUCAAGUCCGCAUGGCCUUUAUGUCCAGGGCUACACACGUGCUACAAUGGUCGGUACAGAGGGCUGCAAGACCGUAAGGUGGAGCAAAUCCCAGAAAACCGAUCUCAGUUCAGAUUGUGGUCUGCAACUCGACCACAUGAAGUCGGAAUUGCUAGUAAUGGCGUGUCAGCUACAACGCCGUGAAUACGUUCCCGGGCCUUGUA
This 428-nucleotide ribosomal RNA is filed under the name uncultured Chlamydiae bacterium. Its description in RNAcentral is "bacterial SSU rRNA". It matches the Rfam family "Bacterial small subunit ribosomal RNA", at positions 958 to 1385 of the family's 1533-position model. The record is from RNAcentral. Lineage: Bacteria; Pseudomonadati; Chlamydiota; Chlamydiia.